AAGAAAGUCAUAGAGGUUAUGGUGUUGGCUUGAAACCAAUUUUAGGAGGUUCGAAUCCUCCCUUUCUUA
RNAcentral lists this transfer RNA (69 nucleotides) under Akodon montensis. RNAcentral's name for it is "tRNA-Ser". It matches the Rfam family "tRNA". Rfam says of the family: Transfer RNA (tRNA) molecules are approximately 80 nucleotides in length. Their secondary structure includes four short double-helical elements and three loops (D, anti-codon, and T loops). Lineage: Eukaryota; Metazoa; Chordata; Mammalia; Rodentia; Cricetidae. The record is from RNAcentral. RNAcentral also lists the same sequence under 1 other name.